AUUGAACGCUGGCGGCAGGCCUAACACAUGCAAGUCGAGCGGAUGAAGGGAGCUUGCUCCUGGAUUCAGCGGCGGACGGGUGAGUAAUGCCUAGGAAUCUGCCUGGUAGUGGGGGAUAACGUCCGGAAACGGGCGCUAAUACCGCAUACGUCCUGCGGGAGAAAGUGGGGGAUCUUCGGACCUCACGCUAUCAGAUGAGCCUAGGUCGGAUUAGCUAGUUGGUGGGGUAAAGGCCUACCAAGGCGACGAUCCGUAACUGGUCUGAGAGGAUGAUCAGUCACACUGGAACUGAGACACGGUCCAGACUCCUACGGGAGGCAGCAGUGGGGAAUAUUGGACAAUGGGCGAAAGCCUGAUCCAGGCAUGCCGCGUGUGUGAAGAAGGUCUUCGGAUUGUAAAGCACGUUAAGUUGGGAGGAAGGGCAGUAAGUUAAUACCUUGCUGUUUUGACGUUACCAACAGAAUAAGCACCGGCUAACUUCGUG
Molecule: ribosomal RNA, 484 nt
Filed under: uncultured bacterium
Lineage: Bacteria
Description: partial 16S ribosomal RNA
Rfam family: Bacterial small subunit ribosomal RNA
Source: RNAcentral